UACGUAGGGUGCAAGCGUUAAUCGGAAUACUGGGCGUAAAGCGUGCGCAGGCGGCUAUGCAAGACAGAUGUGAAAUCCCCGGGCUCAACCUGGGAACUGCAUUUGUGACUGCAUGGCUAGAGUACGGUAGAGGGGGAUGGAAUUCCGCGUGUAGCAGUGAAAUGCGUAGAUAUGCGGAGGAACACCGAUGGCGAAGGCAAUCCCCUGGACCUGUACUGACGCUCAUGCACGAAAGCGUGGGGAGCAAACAGG
This 252-nucleotide ribosomal RNA is filed under the name uncultured bacterium. Its description in RNAcentral is "partial 16S ribosomal RNA". It matches the Rfam family "Bacterial small subunit ribosomal RNA", at positions 524 to 776 of the family's 1533-position model. The record is from RNAcentral.